GCUACAUGGAAUCCCACGAAUCCUCCAGGCCAUUUUAUGCAUGAAGAAACAGACUCAGAAUAAAUAAUUUCUAUGGGUGAUACAGACUCCAAGAUCCAGACCAGGGCAAGAACCAGUUCCUCAGAUCCGUCCGCUGCUACAAGACACGGAAUAAGAGUGGUGAAUUCAUUCAAGAAUUCUAUAUUGAGUAUUUUCUGCUUGGUACUCUAAUAACGACUGGAGACCCAGUAGAACAAGAUAGAAAUAUCAGGGGAGAUUUCAAGAAGAAGUUUGAGUGAAGCCAAUCUCUACACCAUCUGAGGAUGUCACAAGAGAUCCCAGACCACCCAUCACCAAGUCUCUUUUUUUUUUCCUUCCCAAAUGAAAAGAAAGAGAAAGAAAAGUGAAGAAAUCAAAGCUGGGACUAUCUGAGGGAAGAGCAUUUGGGGCAGAGGGCACAGCAAAUGCCAAGUCCUGGGGAAGGAACCAUCUAGGUGUUUGAAAGACAGCAUAAAGACCAGUGGGGCUGGAGCAUUGUGAACAAGAGGAAAGCCCCAAGAGAAGAUGUUGAAACCAGAUCACAUAGGACUUUGUAGGCCUUGGAAAGGAGUUUCUAUUGCAAUUGGAACUGCUGGUGGGUUUUAGCCAAGGUGGCAAUAUGAUUUAAGUUUUUAAAACAUCCCUUCGGCUGCUGUGUGAACUGACCACAGUGAUGCAAGGACGGAGAUCAGGAGACCAGAUCCAGGCCCCAGUGAAGGGCUUGGACCAGAGUGGCAGCAGUGGAGAAGGUAGUAAGCAGCCAGAUUAGGAUGUAUCCUGGAGAUCAAGCCUACAGGACUUGCUGCUGGAUCUGCGAGCACUGGGUUUGCUGAUGGGCUGGAUAUGAGCUGUUGGGGGGAAGGGACCACUCAAGUCUGCAUCCCAGGUUUUUGCUCUGAGCCACUUCCUGCAGCCCCACCUCUGCAGGCUGUCACAUUGCACACGGGCUUCCUGCCUCAGCUUCCUUUGAUGGAAGCCCAGGCCUGGACUGUGGCAGAGACGAUGCUGUGUGUCCACUAAGCCAAUCCAUCAUCCUCCUGGAUACACAGGAUGGCCUCAGUCCCCAGGCCCCUGACAUCUAGGCGGGGCCAUACGUCUCGGUCACUAACUGUGAAACUGCGCCUGUCUUGCUGCACCUCCGUCAAUUAUUCAGUCCUCACAAGUCUGUCUCCUUUCCUAACAUGCUCGAUGCUCUGACAACACAGAGCCUGUCAUCGAUUGUUCAAAUGUGACUCCUGGAGCCGGCAGCUUUAAGGAUCAGGUGGCCAUGAAUGACAGUUCACCGCACGGCCAGCCACCCCGUGCUGCCUUGGUGUGUUUGCACAUCCGCACGUUACUUCUACCCUGCCAGCUCCUUGCAGCCAUGAAAGUCCUUUUCCUUUAUAAACUACACAGAUGUUUAGAGGAAGCUCUGGGUUAGUUCAGCUGCUCUCUGGGUUCUAUCCCAACUCAGACACGUCCCGUGUUCUAUUACCUAUAGGUUUGGCAUUAUACCGAAGGCAGUUUAGGGGAGGCAUUGUGAGAGGUGACUCCCAGCUUGCCCGUGAUCGAAACUCUGACGAUCAGAGAAGUCCUAAUAACAUGUCCUAAAGUUGAGUCCUAGAAUUUCAUAGAGGGGCAUGCAAAGCCCUGUGCCAGCCCUAAAUGGACCAGAGUUCUAGAUAAAUCCUAAACCAGGACUUCAGGCACAGGGACAACUCAGGAUUCCAGACACGGGAACUCAGAUCUAAGGAGACCUGGUCUUUGGAACUAAACAGAAAAUCAGGUCAUAGAACUGGUGCCCAAGAGCAACCAGAGUGACCUUCUGCUGAGACCUAAGGGUCAGCUGGGUCCCCUCACAUCUUUCCCUGAUAUGAACGGGCCUGCACACAAGGGGGCAGCUCACCUGUGAAAGGACCACCAGUGGCCCCAGCUGGGCAGAACCAAGCAGGACUUGACUUCCUCCUCCUUCUGGGUCACCUCACUGCAGUCCAGCCACUGUUCCUUCUCAUUUCUGCACUUAAAACUGAAGACUAACUCAAAAAUAUAUGCACCCCAUGUCUAUUGCAGCAUUAUUUACAAUAGCCAAGAUAUAGAAACA
Molecule: long non-coding RNA, 2098 nt
Organism: Balaenoptera musculus (blue whale)
Lineage: Eukaryota; Metazoa; Chordata; Mammalia; Artiodactyla; Balaenopteridae
Exons: 5
Source: RefSeq, a predicted model, not a curated record